RNAcentral lists this ribosomal RNA (493 nucleotides) under Burkholderia multivorans. RNAcentral's name for it is "bacterial SSU rRNA". It matches the Rfam family "Bacterial small subunit ribosomal RNA", at positions 197 to 671 of the family's 1533-position model. Lineage: Bacteria; Pseudomonadati; Pseudomonadota; Betaproteobacteria; Burkholderiales; Burkholderiaceae. The record is from RNAcentral.
CGGAUGAAAGCGGGGGACCUUCGGGCCUCGCGCUAUAGGGUUGGCCGAUGGCUGAUUAGCUAGUUGGUGGGGUAAAGGCCUACCAAGGCGACGAUCAGUAGCUGGUCUGAGAGGACGACCAGCCACACUGGGACUGAGACACGGCCCAGACUCCUACGGGAGGCAGCAGUGGGGAAUUUUGGACAAUGGGCGAAAGCCUGAUCCAGCAAUGCCGCGUGUGUGAAGAAGGCCUUCGGGUUGUAAAGCACUUUUGUCCGGAAAGAAAUCCCUGGCUCUAAUACAGUCGGGGGAUGACGGUACCGGAAGAAUAAGCACCGGCUAACUACGUGCCAGCAGCCGCGGUAAUACGUAGGGUGCGAGCGUUAAUCGGAAUUACUGGGCGUAAAGCGUGCGCAGGCGGUCUGUUAAGACAGAUGUGAAAUCCCCGGGCUCAACCUGGGAACUGCAUUUGUGACUGGCAGGCUAGAGUAUGGCAGAGGGGGGUAGAAUUCCA